CCAAUAGCGUAUAUUAAAGUUGUUGCAGUUAAAAAGCUCGUAGUUGAAUUUCGGGGUUAAUAAGUUGGUCGUACCUAUGGUAUGUACUGGCUUUAUUGAUUCCUACCUCUUGACGAACUGUGAUGCCAUUAAUUUGGUGUUGCAAGGAAUCAGGACUGUUACCUUGAAAAAAUUAGAGUGUUUAAAGCAGGCUUACGCUU
Molecule: ribosomal RNA, 200 nt
Filed under: uncultured Glomus
Lineage: Eukaryota; Fungi; Glomeromycota; Glomeromycetes; Glomerales; Glomeraceae
Description: partial small subunit ribosomal RNA
Rfam family: Eukaryotic small subunit ribosomal RNA
Source: RNAcentral